AAAGUCUGGCCUGCCCUAUGAAUAAUUAUAUUUAAAUGGCUGCGGUAUUUUGACCGUGCAAAGGUAGCAUAAUAAUUAGUUUUUUAAUUGAGAACUGGUAUGAAAGGUUUGACGAGGGAAAGACUGUCUCAAUUUAAUUUUUAUUAGAAUUUUAUUUUUAAGUAAAAAAGCUUAAAUAAUUUUAAAAGACGAGAAGACCCUAUAGAAUUUUAUAUAUAUAUAUAUAUUUAAAAAUUUAAGAAUUUUAAAAUUAAAUAUUUAUAGAAAUAUUUGAUUGGGGCAAUCGAAAAAUUUAAUGAACUUUUUUUAUAUUAAAACAUUAAUUUAUGAAUAAAUGAUCCA
This 342-nucleotide ribosomal RNA is filed under the name Pachysoma hippocrates. RNAcentral's name for it is "partial 16S ribosomal RNA". Lineage: Eukaryota; Metazoa; Arthropoda; Insecta; Coleoptera; Scarabaeidae. The record is from RNAcentral.